RNAcentral lists this ribosomal RNA (21 nucleotides) under Prionolejeunea schlimiana. RNAcentral describes it as "partial 26S ribosomal RNA". Lineage: Eukaryota; Viridiplantae; Streptophyta; Jungermanniopsida; Porellales; Lejeuneaceae. The record is from RNAcentral.
AUCACUAAGCGGAGGAAAAGA